AGCAGCCGCGGUAAUUCCAGCUCCAAUAGCGUAUAUUAAAGUUGCUGCAGUUAAAAAGCUCGUAGUUGAAUUUCGGGACCAUCAUGUCGGUCGUGCCUCGGUACGUACUGGCAUUGUUGGUUUCUCCCUUCUGACGAACCAUGAUGUCAUUUAUUUGGUGUCGUGGGAAAUCAGGACUGUUACUUUGAAAAAAUUAGAGUGUUUAAAGCAGGCUCACGCUUGAAUACAUUAGCAUGGAAUAAUGAAAUAGGACGUUUGAUUCUAUUUUGUUGGUUUCUAGGAUCGACGUAAUGAUUAAUAGGGAUAGUUGGGGGCAUUAGUAUUCAAUUGUCAGAGGUGAAAUUCUUGGAUUUAUUGAAGACUAACUACUGCGAAAGCAUUUGCCUAGGAUGUUUUCAUUAAUCAAGAACGAAAGUUAGGGGAUCGAAGACGAUCAGAUACCGUCGUAGUCUUAACCAUAAACUAUGCCGACUAGGGAUCGGAUGAUGUUAAUUUUUUAAUGACUCAUUCGGCGCCUUAC
RNAcentral lists this unclassified non-coding RNA (520 nucleotides) under uncultured Glomus. RNAcentral describes it as "SSU rRNA". It matches the Rfam family "Eukaryotic small subunit ribosomal RNA", at positions 569 to 1091 of the family's 1831-position model. Lineage: Eukaryota; Fungi; Glomeromycota; Glomeromycetes; Glomerales; Glomeraceae. The record is from RNAcentral.